CCCCCAACCAGCUUAUUACUAGUCCCUAGUAAUCUAAAGCGUUAAAAUAGAGAAACAAUUUGCAAGUUCCACAAAGCAAGGCAUUCAUCAUUCAACUUCCAUUAAUCUAUCCAGAUAAACAAACUCUCAUUAAAUUUAUAUUCCUGCUUCAUACUUCUUAAACAAGAUAUUAAUAAACCUUCUUUUUGUGUGCUCAAUGAAAACAUAGAUGAUGGGGCUUUUGUUGGAAGAAAACAAUAUUAUGUUCAAAUGUUUAAGGUGAACUUCCUU
This 270-nucleotide long non-coding RNA is filed under the name Populus tremula. Its description in RNAcentral is "long non-coding RNA (PTRE_LNC002940)". Lineage: Eukaryota; Viridiplantae; Streptophyta; Magnoliopsida; Malpighiales; Salicaceae. The record is from RNAcentral.